Molecule: long non-coding RNA, 10713 nt
Filed under: Fragaria vesca (wild strawberry)
Lineage: Eukaryota; Viridiplantae; Streptophyta; Magnoliopsida; Rosales; Rosaceae
Description: long non-coding RNA (FVES_LNC003124)
Source: RNAcentral
UAAAGGCACCAACAGUUUGUUAAGCAGUUUCCAUGAUUGCCCUGAUAAUCUGAUUGAUACAGACUAGCCACUACAAGUGCAUAAUCAUGUGCUUCAAAAUCAGUAGUAAAAGCAUCUCGUGCACUGGUAGUGAAAAGUACUGCCAACACAAAAGCUAGAUGGAUGAAAAAAAUUGAGUUAACAAUUUUUAAAUAAGAAAUAUUACUGAUUACUGAAUAUAUCUUAAACAAGCAAUAUUACUGAUCAAAUUUGAAAAAAUAGAGAAUUAUGUGAUUGCCAACGGAUCAAUCAAACAAUCAUACUACAACAUAAGUAAAUUCUGCAAUAUAUAAAAUAAAAAUAUAAUCAAACUAAAAUUUUACUUUUCCUGAAUGACAAGUACGGCAUUGGAAAUCAUCCUGAUUUUCUUUAAUUUCAUUGUAACUUCCUUCAGAUCUACGGGCAAACAAAUCACAACCAUUCUCUGCAUAUUCGGAGCAUACUUGAGCAUAUACUUUGCCCACUCAAUUCCAUUAGACCCACUGCAAAGCUCUAUAGUAACAUGCUUAAGUUGCUUAGUGAAAGCAAGGUCUUGCGGCUUCCAGUAUUCCAUAUUAAACCCAAAUACCUGAAAAGGAAAACGUCAACAAGCAUAAAUGUACAUACAUGUUAUCUCGAAAGCAUGAUGAAUAAACUCCUGAAUUUGAAUGUAUGCUAAUGAUGUGAGAGAGAGAGAGAGAGAGAGAGAGAGAGAGAGAGAGAGAGAGAGAGAGAGAGAGAGAGAGAGAGAGAGUAGUAUANNNNNNNNNNNNNNNNNNNNGAGAGAGAGAGAGAACCUUUAACUUACAUUCUAUUGAGGGUCCUGUGGUGGUUUAGACUUUAUGUAUAACACACUCAAAUUAGGUGUUCUUCUUAAGACACAGACCAAUGCCGGGAUCAGCUCAUCAACAAAGCUUUCGACAUUCAUAUACAAAUAAGAAGUAUCAUACAAUGGAGCUGGCACAAAUACAUCCAUAAAUGUAGCCUGAAAUGUUGUAAAUCAGGAUUCUCACUUUCCUUUCCCUCUUUCAUAGAUAUGAAUUCUUGUUUGUAAAAACGUCAACUCAUAUUUAGUCCAACAAAUAGCGUGUAAGAAAAAGAAAAACAUGCAAUUUGCACGUCAUAGUUUUUGCAAAAUAAAUAAAAAUAAAAGCAGUUGUAGAGUUUAAACUCGUUUACCUUAUUUGCCACUUCAUUUAGCAAAAGAGCUUGAGCCCUACGUAAACUCCAAAGAACGUCAUGUACCUUGUCCAAUUCAUCUACUUCAGGCACCAGAGAAACUGCAGCUGUUUCUAAGCAUUCUAGUUUUCCCAGGUUUGGGUAUUUCAUCAAAUUCCCAAUCCAUUUAAGACAUUUAAGAUUUGGGGCAUCAACAGUUAAGGAUUUGUUGUUAGGUGAAUCAAAUGUCCAGUAAAGAUCUAAGUCCACAAGGUUCUCACUUGAGAUACUAAUAUGGCACAUGAUCCAGAGGGCCACAAAUGAAACUAAACCUUUUCAAAGAUGACCGAAAAAUUAUGAUGCGUUCUAUCCCAGGAAGAUGAGCAAGAUGUAGAUCCUCAAUGCACCUGCAGGAACAUGAGAUCCAUUCGAAAAAAUGCACAUCUUCGAUGUAAACAUUUCUCAACUGCAAAUACUUAAGAUUAGAGGAAAAGGCAAAAGAUGGGGUUCUGAGGACCGUAUAGUUCAUGACCACCACCAGAGACCUCAAAUGUGCAGAGAGAAACACAAAAGAUGGCAAAUACAUCACCUCAGUCUCACUAUCAUAAAAAGUCAUCUUAAGAUCAAGCACUUCGACAUUACACCGUACUGCAUUCUGGAUCCAUGUCAUCAAUCGAUAAUGCUCAUUAUCACAGAUGCACGGUGUCGCAUCUUCGUCCAUAGAAUGACGCUCCCAAGGGACACGAAACAACUAUAUCUUAUUAUCCCCACGAUGAAACAAUAACCUCUCCAAAUUAGUCAUCAAAUUCAGCCUCCCACCACACAUGGACAUGGCAUCCGAGGGGAACUCAUCAAAAUUCAACGACGGAGCAGAUAUACAAAGUUUUCCACACCUUUUGGACACACAACAUACACGACUAAGGUCUGGCAAAGCCAGGAAGGAAAGAAUGUGAUGUGCAACAGGAUCCGGAAUAUCGCUAAAUCUGUCAAUACUACUCUCAUUCUCACCACGACGUACUUCACCUCCACAACCUACGCCUUUGGUUCAUUUCCAGAUACACUAAACUAUUUCUUUUCCUUUCUGCAACAUAAGUUUGUUUCAAGAAACUAAAUCAAUCUGCUGUAAUCUAAAUACAAGCUUCUUCAGUUAAACAGCUACUAUUAACCAUCACUAAACUAUCCUACAUUUCAUUUCAACACUGAACCAAACUAAUAGAGGAGGAGUGGUCUUGAUAGUACGUAUCGUUCAUGUAACCGAGAGAUUCAUCUUACCCAGCUAGCAGGUUUAUGAGGAGGAUUGAUGAAUGGGGGCAAACGAAGCAGAGCUCGUAGAACCCUAAUUUUGUGGAUUAAAACUAACAAGCUACAGAGAAAAGCCUCUAGCAGAGUAGCAGAAAUGGUUAUCCCUUUUUCAUGUCUCACUUUCUGAGUAGAGUAGCCAUGCUACUUGUUUUGAUGCUUCUCAUUUGUAGAGUAUAGUCAUACUGCUAGGUCAUUAUAGUUAUGGUACGAUUCGACUCUUUGAUUCUUUUAAGUCGGCCCUUCAUUGUUCCUUGCCGACUUGUAUGGUACGAAUUGGUGAUUUCAGUGAAGGGACGGUCCAUUUCCAAUGUAAUGAACACAAAAGGUACAAGUACAACCCACAUGGGGGCUUUUGAGGGGUCGGGCCUAUAUGUUGGGCCAAGUUUCUCACCCCUAAACAAAACAUGGCCCUCUACCUGCUGGAGCAGAUCUACAACAUGCUUUUAGGCCGGUCGGGCCGAGCUUGCGGGCCUCCAUCGACCCACUUGAUCAGUGAGCUUAAUGGUGAGACGCCCAAGCUACACGUGAUGCAUAUUUAAUUAAUUUUAUAUUAGUUACAUUAUUUUGAUUGGUUGGAACCGAAAUAGUAUCAAGUUGAGUCACUCGAUUUGGUUGUGUCAAGCUGAACUCUCAAUUCAACAUCAGUUCCCAUUUAAAUUGAUUCGAUCAGUUCUGUUAAUUAAGAUUCAUUCUGUGAAAAAUGUCACCCCUAAAUAUAGAAUUUAGAAAUAAAGCUUAUGAGACUUGCAAAAAAUAGUUAGAAAGACAAUAUACAUAAUGCGUGCAAAACAUACCAAAACAACAUAUAUCCCAUCUUUUAAGAAGCAAAUUAACUACCAGAUGUUCUCAACGAAAAAAAAAAUCUACUAGAUGUGGGUAUAGGACCCUCCAUUAUUCAAUCAACAGCUGCAUCCCACAUUCUUGAUAUGGGUAUUAGAAAGUGCUAAAGCCAAUCCACAACUGGAUAUGGGUAGGACCUCAUCGUUCAAUCACAAAGGUGAUGUUACUCAAUCACGAUGGUACCGGAUGAAUUAGGAGGGAGGCAACACCAUCUUUCAUCACAUCUCCCACUCGUGUGUACUCAUCAUCCUUUUUGUAAAGAAGAUCAACAACUCUGGUUAGGUUAAGAACACGAGUAAGCACUGGCACAGGAACAGCAGUCGGUCUCAAAAACUCUUCGUUUAUAUCCUUCCACGAAUCUACAACUUUUUUGUUAAAAAUAUCAACCGUCUCUUGCUCCGAUACCCCAUAUUGCUUCAUGUAACAAUCAAUACUUGAAGCAAUAUGCUCUCUCUCUUUCUCAAACUGCAACAGAUAUAUAUAUAUAUAUAUAUAUAUAUAUAUAUAUAUAUAUAUAUAUAUAAUUAAUUCAAAUUAUUCAGAAACCGAUCGAUUUUAUGCUCACAAUAUAUAUAAUGCUUCAUCCUGUAACUAGUUACUGGUUCAUUAUUCAUAUAGUAGACAUACCUUGCCGGAAACAAGGUCAUCCAUGAGCCUAAAAAUAAUAUUGGAAGCUCUAAGAAUUUUAGGGUGAUUUGCCAACCACUCAAAUGCAUCCUUGGUUACAAUGUCUCCCAUUCCGACUAGCGACAUUGUCGAAAGGAAACUGUUUCCAACCGAACGUACAGAGACCUCCAUAUACUCGUCCAUACUUGGAGUGUAGUUUUCAUGAAGCCACUGUGCCUCCGCAAAGUAUAGUCGAGCUUGAGCUUUUAUCUGAAAAAUAUGAAAUACAGUGAUUAACAAUGAUACGUAGUACGUACUCCAAGAACUUACAUAAACAUUCAGUAUCAACAUACAAUUUCUUUUGCGAAGUGAACUCGGUAUGAUUUUCCUUGCUUCACCAUCUCCACCUCAAUUUCAUUGCACAAAAUGAACAGUCUACGAUAGAAGAUCUUCAUAUAGUCUGGCAGUUCAUCUAUACAAUUGACAUCCCACCUGAAAGUUUUAGAAACAUCGAUACUUUCAUAAAACAAAUUUCAGCAACAUAAAUCACAAUUUUUUGUUUCAAUGGAAACUACUUGUUUUGUACCUUUGAAUUGCUUCAGUAAAUAUUUUGAGUUCUUCGAAUGAACCAUAUGCAUCGUAGAUGUCAUCCAAAACUGAUCCAAAUGCAAUAGCUUUUGUUAAGAAAUGUCUUGCCUUUGAGUACUGGGGUUCAGCAUAUACUCCCAAUGUCCAAAAGUACAGCUCAACAAUCCUAUUUCUCGCGAAUGGUAGCUCCCUUUCAAAAUCUAGUUCAUCCCACCAUCUAAUAAUCUCACUGAGCUCCUUCUUGUGUAAAGACUGAACAAGAUUGAAAUCUAACUUUGCAAGUUUCAAUAAUAAAGCUACUGCUUCAUGAUGCAAAGAUUUUGGAUCAUCCGGGAAGAUUGAUAUGUAAUGCCUCGCGUAUAAUCUCUCUGGAAAUUUUCGUAGCGGUCUCUCUAAGGCUUGAGUUAUCUGGGCUGCCAGUGGAUGAUUUACAUCGUUUGCAGAUGACUCAAGGUGAGCUGUAGUGAAAUGUAGACCAUCUUCUAGAAUAUCUUCACCAUGGAUCCUUAGAUGUGUUGCCUCAUAAAAACUUAGCAUACCGGGCAGAUCGGAAGUCAAGCCUUCCUUGAAGUUAUCAUUUGCAUCUUUGAACCUCUUGAAUAUAUCUGGUUGAAUAGUAUUGUCAAAAACAGAAAGAAAGUAAAACAUAAUAACUUAAUAAGUGAAGAGUGAUGACCUAGCUGGUAAUUAUAUAUUUUCAAUCUUACCAGAUGAAACAUUAUAUCCAUGUUCCCGCAAUAAUCGAAAACGAAGAGCAACAUUGUACAAGUUACCAUCAUGAACACAUGCAGCAUGAGCCUGCUCGAGUGCGUUCUCUAUGUCUCUUUCGAAAUGGUAUGCAAUGCCGAGACGCUGCAUCGCAUCGAUUGACUUCAUCUGAGUCGAAAAGUCACUUGAAGCAUUUCUGAAAACUUCCCUUUUCACUACUACUUUCAAUUGAUUAACCUGCUUUUGCAGAAGGGAUCGAGUCAUCUGCAACAGAAGAUAUGGUACAAAUAAUAUUUAGUCACAUCUUCAAAAUGGUUUUGGGUAAGAAACAAUUAAUUUGUCAUCAAAAAAAAAAAAAUUAAUUGUAAUUUUGCAUGAGCUCUUACAGGGUCCUGGGAUUCUUCAUAGUUGCUGAACCGAUCUCCCCAGAUGCUAGGGUGAUAAAUCGCAGUGCGCCGAAGGAUUUCAGGGUUAACAAUUUUUGGUGUUUGGAUUGAAAGAGAAGCUGAUGUUCUUUUGAUGACAAAACGAGAAGCUAAUUGGGUUGACAUGAUGAUUUGCUUGCUAAGCUGCUAUGGCUAAUUGAAGUGUUGGUUUGUAUAUAAAUAGGCUCUAACUCAAUAUCUAGCGAGAUCCGGUAAAUCAAGAACCAUAUUGCAACUAUUGUCCGAAAGAAAGAAGAUGAUCGAAUUAUUAACUAUCAAGCUAGAUGCUCACAUGUUUUAAACGUUCGUUAGCAAAAUAUGGUUCUAUGAUUAUGAUGUUAUUGAAUAUAUGUAGAUGUCUGUUGUUACUCGGACAUAUAUGUCACAUUUCACUAAUUAUCUUUAUGUACUCUUUAUAUUUCAAAGUUCUACCUCUGUCUCUCUUCUUUUGGCCUUGAAUCUGAUUCGUUGAUUUUGAUUUCGGCCCUUUUGAAUCCUCUUUCUUCGGUGGAUUGGUCAGCUUCGUAGACUUUGAAUGAUAUCAGGGAAAGCGCUGGACUACGCCAACAUUCCGUACGCCAGAGUGGGUCCAAAACAGAUGGCUACAUAUUGUCCAUAGGGUUCAAAAAUGAAGGACAUAUACGUAAAUCCAGCAAUUAACUUCUGUUAGCAGUAAAAAUCACUCGUUAUAGUUAAAAUCUGAGGGACGGAGGUUCUUGCCGCCAAGACGGCGACGGAGGAGUCGAGGUCAGAGGGCGGUUCUUCGAGGAAUAUAGUGAUGGGGUCGGCACACGGCGGAGGAACUCGGUCGAUAUUGAUUCCGAUAGAGACGUAGCGGGAACCAACUUCCGGCGAAGCUAUGAGCUACUUGUUUGCGAAAUUGGUUUUGCAAUAAUUGAGGCAAAAGGAUUGGCUAUGCAAUACAGGUUUGUGAUGGUGUGGGUUGCUUUGCUCUCGGGCUUAUCGGAAUUAGGAGAGUGCGAGACCAACAUGUAAUUAAGGUGCCGACACUUUUGUUUACAUUUAGAUGAACACGACGAUGGAUGUGGAGUGCAAAGAGAGAUGAGUAAUCCAUUGUUGGAUCAUACUGGAGGAAUAGCUAAUGUUGGGUCAGUGGCUAAUUAAAAGAAAAAGGAAGUAUUCAACAUCUGGAGCUAUGGGCGCAAUCGUGGCAAUACCACUUCAAGUGAGUUAAAGAGCAUGCAUGUGCUGGCAUUACCACUUCAAUUUUGUGUAGUUUUAUCACCAACUAAACCUUGUUUCUUAUUAUGAUAUGCCUCUUGCAGUUCUUAGUUUGCACUUCGGUCAUAUUUGUACAUUCUUUUCCAUGAAUUGGUGCUCCCGCUCUUAAGCACGAGACCUCCGCCGAUAACCACCGUCUCUCUCAAAAGUCAAAACGCUUCGUCGGGAUAACUACUUUCGUUCCUCUCUAGCUUCCACUCCCAGCUCGGCAUCGAGAUCUAUCUCCCUCAUCCUCAUUGAGAAGCAUUUUGCAAUUUGCAUGGAAAAUGAUGAUCAGGAGCUUGGAACUAGAGUAAGAAGAGGUUAAUUUGAUGAUCAAGAGUUUGCCUAGCCUAGAAUGUUGGUGAUCACAUUUGUCGUUACCUCCCUCAAGCUUCAAUGCUCUCGUUAGAUGACAAGAAGCUUGCAACUUUGUUGUCAGAUACCAAGGAUCGCAGCUUGACAGGAAAGGAUGCAUCUGGGAUUUGAAACUUAUAUAUAGCUAGUUGGAUGACUGAAUCAGAUAGAAAUCUGUUGACAAUCAAGAAGCUUGGAUCUGCUGGACCAUAUCUCAAUUGAAAAAUGGCAGGAUGUUUUCGAUUUUGAUACACCUCGAUGACAUUAACAAGGAUUGGAAGUCACACAUUGUUUCUUCAGUGGGUUUGGUGAAAACUGUUUUUACCAGGUCAACAGAAAUUACAUCGUUUGCCCCUCUGUUUAAACGAAAGUGUUGGCGUACGCAUACAAUGGCGUUUUGUAGCUUUUGCCUGAUAUCAGAGGCUCAAGCCGUCUAUUCCAUCAUGUUUACUGGUCUUGGACCAGCAGAUUGGCUAACACAGCAGCAGACCUUGUUGCUUCUCUAGCCAACCGCAGGGUGUGUCCGGUUGACUGGGUGUCCAAUCCUCCUCCCUCCCUAAUGCGGAUUUUAUUAUUUGAUGCUCAAGCAGCCCCUCCUUAGCUUGUUUGUUGUUGUUUUGUUUCAUCUAUUAUAAUCCCCAGCCAUCUUUUGGUUUUGCAAUAGAAGUUCUUUGCUUACCAAAAAAGUUCUAAUCAUUUCACUCUCAAAUUUCAAUUAUUUCCAAAAUAGAAUCAAGCCCCAGCUAUAGUUGCAUCUAUCUUCUUUCUUCGUGCAACAUAUAAAACCCUAGAUCGCAAGUAUAAAACCCUAAAUGUGUACCAUCACUUCUACAUAUAUUUUUGUCUUCUGUAUUGCCCUAUUUGUUUACGUCUUUCUUUUCUUUGGCGGAGGGAAACUGUGGGCAUGAAAGACCUAGCUUAUGGGGGAGCAGAAACAGUACCAGGAGCUAGAUAUGCUAGUGACCAAAUUAGCACGUAUUUUGCAAGUCACCAGAUCGGCACUAUUGAAGUAUUGAUUUGCUAGCUCCCCAAGAAACUUCAGUUAAUUUUGCUAGUGACCAGCUUCAACAGUAUUGAUCCACUAGCUUCUCAUAUGUGCCCAUAAAAUUAUAUUAGUGGCAUGAUUCGUAAGUUUAUAGAUUUUUUUUUUUAUCAUACAAACAAUUAAAAUGCUACAACGAGUCUAUCGUGAGUUGAGUUAAAUUCACGACCUCCUAUUUACAGAAGGGAGACUGAUGUCACUAGACCAAAUAGUACGGGGCAGGUUUAUAAAAAUUUAUGUCCACAUAUAAUUACGAAUUACAGAUAUAAUAGCUUUUUAAAAAAAAAAAAAGAAAAGAAAAAAAAAAGAGAUAUACAUUGUUAAUACUCCUGACUACAAUCGAUUCACUUCGAUCGUUUUCACUACACUCGGUAGAAUUAGACAUAGAGGUGAAACUUGCAAAACAAUUGAAAGAAAACAUACAUAAUGCAUGAAAAAUACACCAACAAACUACACAUCCGGCCAAUCUUUUAAAAAGCCAAUCGAUCUAGGGGUAUAGAACCUCUCAUUUUGAAUUCAAUCAACAGCUGCAUCCCAUAAUAUUCCAUACAUGUAUCAGAAAGUGCUGAAGCCACUCAACAACUUGAUAUAUAUGAGUGAAUUAGGAGUGAGGCAACAACUCUGGUUAGGUUAAGAACACGAGUAAGCACAAGUACAGGCACAACAAUAAUGCAACUAAUGUCCAACAGGAAAACGAUAUAAUAUGUUUUUGCAGCUUCCGCACCUUUCACGUGUCUGUCGACUCGCCGGUGACAAGACAGCAGACGAGUUAUAGUACUUCACACAGCUGAAGCGCGCGAGAAACGUUUAUUGCGUCGCGUGACUUGCGUCCACAAAGCUUCGACAGUCCCACUAAAAUUGGGGACGCUAUGUAAGAAGGUUUGGAAGGUGUUUCGGGGACUACAUAAGCUCAUUAAAUGUAGUCCUUGCUUCAGCCAAUGAUAGCUCUUAUUUUGUUAUGUAAACAGUCUAGUCCCAUCCAGUCCCCCUUAACAAACAUACCCAUAAAACCACCUUUUCCUGCUUAUUACUUGAUUUUGAACCCAGUAAUUCAUUCCAAAACCUUCUUAAGAAGACUUUCAUAUCCCAAAGGCGGAGAAAUAAUCCGGCAGUUAAUUCUGCAUUUCUGCUAGUGCUCAGCUUCAGCUUGAAGCCAUAAAGUAAUGUUUGAUCCACUUGCUUCUCGGUGCGCCCAUAAAAACAUAAUGUAGCACUCGAUUGAUCAGUACUUGAUUUGAACCCGUGUUGUAUACACCCACAUGGACAAAAGUUUCGAGUCUCUCUCACUAUUCAAUAAAAUUUAGGGGCAUAGAAAAACAAUGACACAAAUGCAACUGAGGUUGUGUAGAGUAUGUGGUACGCAUUGCAUACACAGAUGAAUUCAUCAGGAAACCUCUGGAGAGCUUUUAAGGAAAAAAAAAAAAAAACAAUAGAAUCAAGAAAUAGGCAAAAGUGAAACUUAACUCCAUACAAGUAAAUCUGUUUACAGGGACUGAAGAAUGCAGCAUUGCGGUGCUAAUAAUAAACUAGCAAAACUAAACCUCAGGCCCUCAUGGACACUGAACUAGUUGGAUCUGCCGACCUUAAUUGGUGUUCCUUGAGAGCUAUAAUGCAUUACUUGAUUGAUAUGCAAUACGUUCUCUACAAAUGAAGUUAUGCAGAUAAUGAAUUCGCUGAAACAAUUGCGAAAGGACAUAGAAAGCCAAAAUCGGAUCAAGUUUAACUUACCUUGAGGAGUUGAAGUCAGAAGCAAAGGCAAAGCUUCAUUCUGAACCCUGAUUCCAAUGCUUGAUAAUUAGCAUGAUCACUUUCAACCAUGGGACAAUUAGUAAACUAUGAAAUGUAACGGCUCCAACAGUUAGUUAAGUAAUCACUCUGGUUGCACAGAUAACUAAUUAAUGCAGACUACCUAUUGCAUUUGCAUAACACAGUGCUUCACAAAAUCAGUAGUAAUAGCAUCUCGUGUUCUGGUAGUGAAAGAAAUACCAACAAAAACUUGCAAACAGAAUAAUGCAUGAAAAAUUAACAUAACAAUUCUUAUAUAAGGAGCAUUGCUGAUUACUGAGUAGAUCUCUAAACAGGAAAUAUUACUGGUUAAGUUUGAAAUACCGAGAAUCACGUAAUCCUACGGAUCAAUCAACAUUCAUACUACAACAUAAAUAAACUCUGCAAUAUAUAAAAUAUUAAAGAUAAGAAAACGGUCUAUUUGUUCUUUUUUACUUUUUCUGAAUGACAAGUGCAGCAUUUGAAAUCCUCCUGAUUUUCUUUAAUUUUGUUGUAACUUCCUUCAGAUCUACGGGCAAACAAAUCACAACCAUUCUCAGCAUAUUCGGAGCAUACUUGAGCACAUACUUUGCAAACUCAAUUCCAUUAGAGCCACGGCAAAGCUCUAUAAUAGCAUGCUUAAGUUGAUUAGUAAAAGCCAGGUCUUGCAGCUUCCAGUAUUCC